UGCAAAGACUAAAACAAAGAUUUACGUGGAUGUUGCCAGGACUAGAGGGUCUGAGCUGUAGGGAGAGCUUGAGUAAGCUGGGUUUCUAUUCCUUAAGGCGAGGAGGAUGAGGGGUGAUCUUAUAGAGGUGUAUAAAAUUAUGAGAGGAAUAGAUCGGGUAGAUGCACAAAAUAUCUUGCCCAGAGUAGGAGAAUUAA
Amblyraja radiata (thorny skate) is the source of this 197-nucleotide long non-coding RNA. RefSeq lists it as uncharacterized. The record is from RefSeq and is a predicted model, not a curated record. NCBI's taxonomy places the organism in Eukaryota, Metazoa, Chordata, Chondrichthyes, Rajiformes, Rajidae. The transcript is spliced from 3 exons.